RNAcentral lists this ribosomal RNA (253 nucleotides) under uncultured bacterium. RNAcentral describes it as "partial 16S ribosomal RNA". It matches the Rfam family "Bacterial small subunit ribosomal RNA", at positions 524 to 776 of the family's 1533-position model. The record is from RNAcentral.
UACGUAGGGUGCAAGCGUUGUCCGGAAUUAUUGGGCGUAAAGAGCUCGUAGGCGGUUUGUCGCGUCUGCUGUGAAAACCCGAGGCUCAACCUCGGGCCUGCAGUGGGUACGGGCAGACUAGAGUGCGGUAGGGGAGAAUGGAAUUCCUGGUGUAGCGGUGAAAUGCGCAGAUAUCGGGAGGAACACCAGUGGCGAAGGCGGCAUCCUGGCCAUGUCCUGACGCUCAGGGGCGAAAGCGUGGGGAGCAAACCGG